ACUCCUUUGAUUUAAUAGGACUGUAAUGCCUAGAAUUACAAUGAUGAAAACAGUGUGUGUGUUUGUGUGUAUAUGUGUUAGUUUGUGUCUGUGUGUAUCUAUGUGUUUGUGUGCCUGUGUUUCUGUGUGUCUCUUUGUGUGUAUCUAUGUGUGUGUCUAUGUGUGUGUGUGUGUGUCCGUGUUUGUGUGUGUGUAUCUGUGUGUGUAUGUCUGUGUGUGUGUCUGUGUUUCUGUGUGUCCGUGUUUGUGUCUGUGUGUGUGUUUAUGUGUUUGUGUUUAUGUGGUUGUGCGUGUGUUUCUGUGUGUAUGUGUGUGUCCGUGUGUGUGUGUCUGUGUGUUUGUGUGUGUUUCUGUGUGUGUAUCUGUGUGUGUGUGCCUGUGUGUGUGUUUAUGUUUGUGUGUCUGUGUUUCUGUGUGUCCGUGUGCAUGUGUGUGUCCGUGUUAUGUGUAUCUAUGUGUGUGUCUGUGUGCUUGUGUGGUUAUGUGUGUGUGUGUCUGUGUUUCUGUGUGUCUCUUUGUGUCUGUGUGUCUGUGUUCAUGUUUGUGUCUGUGUGUAUCUGUGUGUGUGUGUCUAUGUGUGUGUUUAUGUGUGUGUGUGUCUGUGUUUCUGUGUGUCUCUUUGUGUCUGUGUGUCUGUGUUCAUGUUUGUGUCUGUGUGUAUCUGUGUGUGUGUGUCUAUGUGUGUGUUUAUGUGUGUGUGUGUCUGUGUUUCUGUGUGUCCGUGUUUCUGUGUGUCUGUGUGUGUGUGUAUCUAUGUGUGUGUCUGUGUGUUUGUGUGAGGUGUGUAUGUCUGUGUCUGUGUCUGUGUGUCUGUGCAUGUGUGUGUGGUGUGUGUCUGUGUGUGUGUGUGUCUGUGCGUGUCUGUGUGUGUGUGUGUCUCUGUUUCUGUGUCUCUGCACGUGUGCGUGUGUUUGUGUGUGUGCGGCAGAGGGCAAGCAGGCAGCUCUGGGCAUAACCUAGCCUAGGCGUCUGGGAGUGAUCCUGGGGUCCCAGCUACAAACUGAGGCAGCUGAGCUACUUUUGGGUGACUUUUGGGUUGUCCUCACCCACCGCUUCCUUUCCUCACAGGGAAGUGUGUACAGCCCCCCAGAG
This 1092-nucleotide long non-coding RNA is filed under the name Bos mutus (wild yak). RNAcentral's name for it is "lncRNA (ENSBMUG00000004220.1)". Lineage: Eukaryota; Metazoa; Chordata; Mammalia; Artiodactyla; Bovidae. The record is from RNAcentral.